This 209-nucleotide ribosomal RNA is filed under the name uncultured bacterium. RNAcentral's name for it is "partial 16S ribosomal RNA". It matches the Rfam family "Bacterial small subunit ribosomal RNA", at positions 568 to 774 of the family's 1533-position model. The record is from RNAcentral.
AGCGCAGGCGGGAAGACAAGUUGGAAGUGAAAACCAUGGGCUCAACCCCAUGAAUUGCUUUCAAAACUGUUUUUCUUGAGUAGUGCAGAGGUAGAUGGAAUUCCCGGUGUAGCGGUGGAAUGCGUAGAUAUCGGGAGGAACACCAGUGGCGAAGGCGGUCUACUGGGCACCAACUGACGCUGAGGCUCGAAAGCAUGGGUAGGCAAACA